CCUACGGGAGGCAGCAGUGGGGAAUAUUGGGCAAUGGAGGAAACUCUGACCCAGCAACGCCGCGUGAAUGAUGAAGGUCUUCGGAUUGUAAAGUUCUUUUCUAAGGGAAGAAGAAAGUGACGGUACCUUAGGAAUAAGCCUCGGCUAACUACGUGCCAGCAGCCGCGGUAAUACGUAGGAGGCAAGCGUUAUCCGGAAUGACUGGGAGUAAAGGGUGCGUAGGUGGUUUGACAAGUUGGUAGCGUAACUCCGAGGCUUAACCUCGGUACUACUACCAAAACUGUUGGACUCGAGUGCAGGAGGGGCAAAUGGAAUUCCUAGUGUAGCGGUGGAAUGCGUAGAUAUUAGGAGGAACACCAGUGGCGAAGGCGAUUUGCUGGACUGUAACUGACACUGAGGCACGAAAGCGUGGGGAGCAAACAGGAUUAGAUACCCCUGUAGUC
Molecule: ribosomal RNA, 443 nt
Filed under: uncultured bacterium
Lineage: Bacteria
Description: partial 16S ribosomal RNA
Rfam family: Bacterial small subunit ribosomal RNA
Source: RNAcentral